GGGCCAAUAGCUCAGUUGGUAGAGCUCCCGGCUCAUAACCGGUUGGUCGUAGGUUCGAGUCCUACUUGGCCCACCA
RNAcentral lists this transfer RNA (76 nucleotides) under Desulfobaculum xiamenense. RNAcentral's name for it is "tRNA-Ile". It matches the Rfam family "tRNA". Rfam says of the family: Transfer RNA (tRNA) molecules are approximately 80 nucleotides in length. Their secondary structure includes four short double-helical elements and three loops (D, anti-codon, and T loops). Lineage: Bacteria; Pseudomonadati; Thermodesulfobacteriota; Desulfovibrionia; Desulfovibrionales; Desulfovibrionaceae. The record is from RNAcentral.